GACGAACGCUGGCGGCGUGCUUAACACAUGCAAGUCGAACGGAAAGGCCCUGCUUUUGUGGGGUGCUCGAGUGGCGAACGGGUGAGUAACACGUGAGUAACCUGCCCUUGACUUUGGGAUAACUUCAGGAAACUGGGGCUAAUACCGGAUAGGAGCUCCUGCUGCAUGGUGGGGGUUGGAAAGUUUCGGCGGUUGGGGAUGGACUCGCGGCUUAUCAGCUUGUUGGUGGGGUAGUGGCUUACCAAGGCUUUGACGGGUAGCAGGCCUGAGAGGGUGACCGGCCACAUUGGGACUGAGAUACGGCCCAGACUCCUACGGGAGGCAGCAGUGGGGAAUAUUGCACAAUGGGCGGAAGCCUGAUGCAGCAACGCCGCGUGCGGGAUGACGGCCUUCGGGUUGUAAACCGCUUUCGCCUGUGACGAAGCGUGAGUGACGGUAAUGGGUAAAGAAGCACCUGCUAACUACGUG
RNAcentral lists this ribosomal RNA (468 nucleotides) under uncultured bacterium. RNAcentral's name for it is "partial 16S ribosomal RNA". It matches the Rfam family "Bacterial small subunit ribosomal RNA", at positions 28 to 507 of the family's 1533-position model. The record is from RNAcentral.